GAGAGAGAGAGAGAGAGAGAGAGAGAGAGAGAGAACACAGAGAGAGAAAGAGAGAGAGAGAGAGAGAGAGAGGGUACCGUACCAAGCUAAUGGAAAUCUACGUUGCCUAGUGAAGUUCUGUCGCGCCCCGCAGAAAUUAAUGGAAGUGGUGAAGCUGUGGAAGCAGAUCUAAGAUCUUCUCUCCUCUGAUGGCAAGGCUCUCCGAAUUCCAAAUCUGCCU
This is a long non-coding RNA of Juglans microcarpa x Juglans regia, 220 nucleotides long. RefSeq lists it as uncharacterized. The record is from RefSeq and is a predicted model, not a curated record. The transcript has 2 exons. Lineage: Eukaryota; Viridiplantae; Streptophyta; Magnoliopsida; Fagales; Juglandaceae.